This 253-nucleotide ribosomal RNA is filed under the name uncultured bacterium. RNAcentral's name for it is "partial 16S ribosomal RNA". It matches the Rfam family "Bacterial small subunit ribosomal RNA", at positions 524 to 776 of the family's 1533-position model. The record is from RNAcentral.
GACAGAGGGUGCAAACGUUGUUCGGAAUUACUGGGCGUAAAGCGCGUGUAGGCGGCCCUGCAAGUCGGAUGUGAAAUCCCACGGCUCAACCGUGGAAGUGCAUUCGAAACUGCAGGGCUAGAGUCCUGGAGAGGAAGGUGGAAUGCUUGGUGUAGAGGUGAAAUUCGUAGAUAUCAAGCGGAGCACCUGUGGCGAAAGCGGCUCACUGGACCACUACUGACGCUGAUGCGCGAAAGCUAGGGGAGCAAACAGG